Molecule: ribosomal RNA, 259 nt
Filed under: uncultured Staphylococcus sp.
Lineage: Bacteria; Bacillati; Bacillota; Bacilli; Caryophanales; Staphylococcaceae
Description: partial 16S ribosomal RNA
Rfam family: Bacterial small subunit ribosomal RNA
Source: RNAcentral
CGGGUGAGUAACACGUGAAUAACCUACCUAUAAGACUGGGAUAACUUCGGGAAACCGGAGCUAAUACCGGAUAAUAUUUUGAACCGCAUGGUUCAAAAGUGAAAGACGGUCUUGCUGUCACUUAUAGAUGGAUCCGCGCUGCAUUAGCUAGUUGGUAAGGUAACGGCUUACCAAGGCAACGAUGCAUAGCCGACCUGAGAGGGUGAUCGGCCACACUGGAACUGAGACACGGUCCAGACUCCUACGGGAGGCAGCAGGC